RNAcentral lists this ribosomal RNA (861 nucleotides) under uncultured organism. Its description in RNAcentral is "bacterial SSU rRNA". It matches the Rfam family "Bacterial small subunit ribosomal RNA", at positions 62 to 921 of the family's 1533-position model. The record is from RNAcentral.
UCGAGGGGCAGCACGGUUAGCAAUAACUGGUGGCGACCGGCGCACGGGUGCGUAACACGUAUACAAUCUACCUUAAACAGGGGGAUAGCCUUUCGAAAGAGAGAUUAAUACCCCGUAAUAAAUUGAACGGCAUCGUUUGAUUUUGAAAGCUCCGGCGGUUUGAGAUGAGUAUGCGUCUGAUUAGCUAGUUGGUGAGGUAACGGCUCACCAAGGCGACGAUCAGUAGGGGAUCUGAGAGGACUAACCCCCACACUGGUACUGAGACACGGACCAGACUCCUACGGGAGGCAGCAGUAAGGAAUAUUGGUCAAUGGAGGCAACUCUGAACCAGCCAUGCCGCGUGCAGGAUGACGGCCCUAUGGGUUGUAAACUGCUUUUGUACCAGAGAAAACCCGAGUACGUGUACUCGGUUGAUAGUAUGGUAAGAAUAAGCAUCGGCUAACUUCGUGCCAGCAGCCGCGGUAAGACGAAGGAUGCAAGCGUUAUCCGGAUUCAUUGGGUUUAAAGGGUGCGUAGGCGGACCUGUAAGUCAGUGGUGAAAUCUCUUUGCUUAACAAAGAAACUGCCAUUGAUACUGCAAGUCUAGAGUAUAGAUGACGUUGGCGGAAUAUGACAUGUAGUGGUGAAAUACUUAGAUAUGUCAUAGAACACCGAUUGCGAAGGCAGCUAACGAAACUAUAACUGACGCUGAGGCACGAAAGUGCGGGGAUCAAACAGGAUUAGAUACCCUGGUAGUCCGCACCGUAAACGAUGAUUACUCGUUGUUGGCAAUAUGACCGUCAGCGACCAAGCGAAAGCGAUAAGUAAUCCACCUGGGGAGUACGCCGGCAACGGUGAAACUCAAAGGAAUUGACGGGGGCC